GGUGAGCAUCCUGGAGGGAGGAAGUCUUCCCUUUUCCCAGGGCCCAGAGGAGUGUGAGCAAGGUCCUGUCUGCACUGGCUCGCUGAGCGCCCGAGUGGAGAGACGGAACAUAAACAUCAUUGCGUGGAGCCUUGGUGAUCAGUGACAGCCAUCGCCACCUGUUCUAAUCUGAUCAUUUCUUUGACACCUUCCAUGCAACACUCAUCCUUAAUGUAAACAAAAAGAAAAUGUUGAAAAAUGACCUGCCAGCAAAGAAAUUAAAUCAUGUGUACCUCCUUGUCUAGGAAGAUGCCUUAAACCAAGGUCUCUUCUUUUGAGAGAGGAGGAAACAGAGCAAUUUGUCUACUGCUCAUUCCAGCCGGUACGUAGCAGGAGAGGGAGGGGUGAGCAUUGGCGCUCCCAACCCAACAGGUCCAAGAAGGUCCUACUUUCCUCCACCACUCAAUCUUCACUCCAAUCCUUGAAGGGAGGUGCUCCAUUCCACUCAGCACAUGAAGAGAUCGCAGCUCAGAGACACGGAGGGCCAUGCCCAAGCUGCACGUGGGAGCAUGGAGGGAAUGGAGGACCAAGGGUGACACGUGAUGGAUCGCCAGGGACAAGUGACACCAUAGCUGG
Choloepus didactylus (southern two-toed sloth) is the source of this 615-nucleotide long non-coding RNA. RefSeq lists it as uncharacterized. The record is from RefSeq and is a predicted model, not a curated record. The transcript has 3 exons. Lineage: Eukaryota; Metazoa; Chordata; Mammalia; Pilosa; Megalonychidae.